Non-coding RNA from Odocoileus virginianus texanus, 2488 nucleotides. Lineage: Eukaryota; Metazoa; Chordata; Mammalia; Artiodactyla; Cervidae. The record is from RefSeq and is a predicted model, not a curated record.
UGUGCCUGGCGCGAUGCCCUGCAGCUGGCGGAGGGUGGGGCCGCCGCUUUCCUCUAUCGACCGAGGCUGCUGACGGGAAAACCGUCCGAGAGGGAGCGCCCCCGCCCAGAUUCCCUCCACCCUGAAAGUCUGCGGGAUUUUAGGGCCGAGUAAACCAAGCAGAAGCUCAGGGCCGUGUUAUAGACUCAGGUUGAGAUUUUCAGAUUGGCCUUCGAGGCUCCUGCCUGCCAACUACCGGCUCUGUGACCACAGGCGUCCUUAGCCUGGCCUGUUUCCCCACUCUUCGAGAGGCUUGCGGCCUGCGAGUAGCCACGAAGAAGAGUUCACGUCCCAAUCACUACCUGCCUAGUGGACAGCUGGAGGCCAGCACCUUAUCGGCAGGAUCACCGCGGUAUGGUGAAGCACGGGCCUAGCGAGGAGCAUGUGCACUGCAGUCAGUCCUCCAGUCCUUGGAUAUGGAGCCUCUGGAUUCGCAGCCCAUGGCAACAGAGGGCUGAUUCUACUCCUCACCUGAGGGGUUUGCGUGUCCUCGAAUUCUACUACCCAUGGGUUCCUCCUGGAUCCCACAGGCUGUCGCGCAGGCCUCUGCCCAUUGAAGGAAAGCUGACUUUGCUGCUCAGAUGACAAGUUCCAGGUCCCCCAGGGAAAGUGCAGGAGCGGGAGCCUGAACCAGCUUCUGGACUCGACCACGUGUGCCCACGUUAGCCGUGACAGUCUGCUUGGCAGUCACCCAUCGAGAAGAACCAGUGGCCACUGGACUGAACCCUCCCCUGUAUUUGUUCAGGAGCUCUCAGAGUUCUCAUUCCUCAGGGAAGCACUUUCAGAAUCAACCUGGCAUCACCUGACACCUCAGUGGCGGUCCGACUCUAAUCCUCCAGGCUUGUCUUCCUAAAAUAACGAUCGCAUCACCGCCCCUCAGUCCCUGACCUUGAAGCUCCCUACUGAGACUCAGUUCCUUGAAGGAGGAGAAGAGGCUUAGCUCACCUUUGUAACCCCAGUCCCUGGGGCUGCAUACCUGGCCGACAGGUGCUUAGUACACAGUGGCCGGAAGAACAAGUGAAAGGGCCCCAGCGCAGCGCCUUUGCUGGGGCACGCCAGGCACUUUCAUGCCGUUGCCCAUGCCGACUCCCCUCCCAGGCUGCCCCCUGCUGCGUCUCCUUGUUAGCUCAGAAGUCACCUCCUUGUCAAACUGCCGGAGCUCAGGGCCUGUGACGCCCCAGGCCCCGCGCGGGACUGCCUGCCUGCCUCUCCGUGUCUGGCGGAUGGGCCCCAGUACUUUUCCUGCUGUGUCCUGUUGUUAGAGGUCUGCUGCUUUCUGCAUAGAUCACAGUAUCCUAGAGGGCCUCUUCUGUGAUUCCAACACAGGCUAAGGAACACAGACCUUCAGGUCACUUUGGACCCUGUGCCUGGAUCCUAGUGAUGAGUCUUCAUUCUCCAUCUCAUGAGAGUCUUCAGUGCAAAUGGAGGGACAGGAAUUCCUGUUUUAGACACUUCGUGGUGACCACCUUCAAGCUUCUCCCUUAUAGCACUCUUCUAACAUUUACAUCUAACAGCACUGUCUGCCCCGGUCCUCCUACAAUCCAGCCAGCGCGGUUCCCGUCACAGCAAGCACUUCCUCUGUCAGAGCAGACAAACCGACUCAAGCCACAGCCGGAAGCACGCUGACCACAAGUGCUAAGGUUCUGGUUAGUUCUUUUCUAGGUAAAGUUGGAAAAGUCCCUGCAAAGCAAACACUGAAGUUUUAGACAUGGGGGCGGCACUGACCUCUUGAAACGUUCUUGACUGGAAAGAGGGAGGGUGUGUGUGAGAGAGAGAGAGAGAGAAACACAGAGAGAGAGAGAAAGAGAGAGAGAGAGAGAGGAGGAGAGGAAGUUGGAUUGUAUGAUGCAAAUGCUAAUCAUUCUGAGAAGUGUGUUUUUUUUUUUCUCCCUCUUCCCAGGUUCAACUGAAGAGGCAGUUCUAAGAAAGACAGCUGAGAUCAUCAGUUACCUCCUCAGAGAAAGUCCACUGGUGGUAGAGUUUUGUUUACCAUGUAAACAACGCAGCAUUAUGGCUAAACCCCUUAUUCUUUCACAGCCAGACUAAAGAAUUGCGAUUUUUUUUUUUUUUUGGUGGGGUCAUGAGGAUAAAAGACAGGGUCACUGGCCAGAAGAUGGGUCCCGGGAAGAUAGACCUGUAAGCCAGAGAGUCUCCUCCACCCUUCAGAAUCCCCUUGGGAAGAUUCAGGAGGGCAGAGAUGGUCCUUUCAAAGCAAAUGUCAUAGGCACUGCACCUUCUCUUACCAAGCAAGACAGACUGGAUUUCCCAGAGUGCCUGGGGAUGACUGGAGUGACCCAGAGAGGGCGCGGGGCAGCCUGGAAACAGACUCUUGGCUUCAUGUAUCCAAACCCCCCAGAAAAUGCCUGGAAGAGGGUGGAGGAGGAAGACCGAAGAUAAUCCUUAACUGUUCUACAGCAGGAAUAUAUUACACUCAAUAAACUUUAAAUGU